Molecule: long non-coding RNA, 265 nt
Organism: Scaptodrosophila lebanonensis
Lineage: Eukaryota; Metazoa; Arthropoda; Insecta; Diptera; Drosophilidae
Exons: 2
Source: RefSeq, a predicted model, not a curated record
UCGAAAACAGUUCAACAUUUUAUUAAACAAAAAUUUGUGGUAAAAGUUAUUUUAACAUAUAUUUGUGUUUCUUUUCGCCUGCUUUGCCCUUAAUUUCAAAUCCUUUGUGCUGACACAAAUAAUGAGACUGAACAACAAUCAGAACAGCAAGAACAUUAAUCGAUGGCGUGCUUUCAGGCGAUUACCAUAUUGAAGGAAGAAGAAAUGUUUGUGAAGCUAAGGUGGCUUUCAAAUGUCGAUGUCCAUUCCUGUUAUCGUCACUAGG